CCAUGGAGUAACGUGACGGCAACAGUCCACCAAGGAGUCCAGAUGCCUAUGUGCUUUUGCCUUUUGCGGAUCCUUGUGCAAGCUAAUGAAAUCAAGAAUUUUGGGGGACGACUUUGGCAUGAGGUUCUUCAUGUGCGAUAAUUACGAGUAUGACCCGCCCAAACAAUGCGGCAAGGAUCGAGCAAAGACUCCACCGCCUCUAUGUGAUUUCGUGCAGUGGUUAGACACCGAGCAAUCUCAGCAGGAUAAGGACCACGUUGAGCGUCAAGCAAGGUGGGUUGCACAAAGGUGGCAAUGAAUGCUGCAUGAAAAACAGAUGGAGGAGAAGCGCAAGAAAGACCAG
Molecule: long non-coding RNA, 343 nt
Organism: Panicum virgatum (switchgrass)
Lineage: Eukaryota; Viridiplantae; Streptophyta; Magnoliopsida; Poales; Poaceae
Exons: 2
Source: RefSeq, a predicted model, not a curated record